This 76-nucleotide transfer RNA is filed under the name Candidatus Woesearchaeota archaeon. RNAcentral's name for it is "tRNA-Arg". It matches the Rfam family "tRNA". From Rfam's summary of the family: Transfer RNA (tRNA) molecules are approximately 80 nucleotides in length. Their secondary structure includes four short double-helical elements and three loops (D, anti-codon, and T loops). The record is from RNAcentral. Lineage: Archaea; Nanobdellati; Candidatus Woesearchaeota.
GCUCGGGUAGCUCAGUUUGGAUGAGAGCGACACACUCCUAAUGUGUAGGUCGGGGGUUCAAAUCCUCCCUCGAGCG